GGAUAUGAGGGUGAUCUGGCUGUGACAUCUAUCACCCCAUUGAUCGCCAGGAUUGAUUCACCUGAUCUGGCUAGCUAGGCAAGUGUCUCCUUCCUUUCUCACAGCUCCAUGUGCAUCCUCUCAAAGAUGUGCGCUCAGUGGAAGAGAACGACCUUUCCCAAUAGAGGAGAGAACCAUUCUUCGGUCAAGGAUAUACGAGUAGCUGAACUCCCCUGCUAGAACCUCCAAACAAGCUCUCAAGAAGAUGAAAAUCAAUACCUGUUAAGAUGACUAUCAUCAAAAAGACAAGAGAUAAUAACUGUUGGACUGGGUGU
This 314-nucleotide small nuclear RNA is filed under the name Pteropus vampyrus (large flying fox). Its description in RNAcentral is "7SK RNA (ENSPVAG00000026221.1)". It matches the Rfam family "7SK RNA". From Rfam's summary of the family: 7SK was discovered as an abundant small nuclear RNA in the mid-70s but a possible function has only recently been suggested. Two independent studies have found that 7SK RNA binds the CDK9/cyclin T complex (known as elongation factor P-TEFb). Lineage: Eukaryota; Metazoa; Chordata; Mammalia; Chiroptera; Pteropodidae. The record is from RNAcentral.